Molecule: long non-coding RNA, 207 nt
Filed under: Phoenix dactylifera (date palm)
Lineage: Eukaryota; Viridiplantae; Streptophyta; Magnoliopsida; Arecales; Arecaceae
Description: long non-coding RNA (PDAC_LNC021803)
Source: RNAcentral
UCGACCUAAUCAACCUAUGGGUCGACUCAAUCCACACUUUGCUGCAUUCUUAAGGUUAGAUUCACUCAAAUGAACAAGACCAUAUAUAUAUUCUCAAUUAAACAAAUGUACUGAGAGUAAUGAACUUAUAAAUGAAGCAUCAAUUUAGCUUAUAGCAUGCUUUAGAUAAUUGCUUGUUAAUCAUCAAAAUAACACUAUCAUCCUCAA